Molecule: ribosomal RNA, 253 nt
Filed under: uncultured bacterium
Lineage: Bacteria
Description: partial 16S ribosomal RNA
Rfam family: Bacterial small subunit ribosomal RNA
Source: RNAcentral
UCCUUCUUGUGCAAGCGUUAUCCGGAUUUACUGGGUUUAAAGGGUGCGUAGGCGGAUUUGUAAGUCCGAGGUGAAAUCUCCGAGCUUAACUCGGAGACUGCCUUGGAUACUAUAAGUCUUGAAUGACGUUGAGGUUAGCGGAAUAUGUCAUGUAGCGGUGAAAUGCUUAGAUAUGACAUAGAACAUCUAUUGCGAAGGCAGCGAACUAAGCGUAUAUUGACGCUGAUGCACGAAAGCGUGGGGAUCAAACAGG